This 267-nucleotide long non-coding RNA is filed under the name Gossypium raimondii (Peruvian cotton). RNAcentral describes it as "long non-coding RNA (GRAI_LNC003934)". The record is from RNAcentral. Lineage: Eukaryota; Viridiplantae; Streptophyta; Magnoliopsida; Malvales; Malvaceae.
CAAAAUGGCGCCGUUUUGCUUCCUUAUUUAAUUCUAAUUUUUUUCUAAAAUUUUUAUUUUUCUUCUUUUUUAAAAAAAUCCCAAAAUUCUCUCAACCCACUCUUCCCCCACCGGGCUCCGGCCAAAAAUCUGGCCAUCGGCCGUUGUGCAAGCCGCCAGCAACGGCGCUGCCGUCUACGAUGGCAAAAAAAACCAAAAAAAAAACCCCUUUUGAAGCCAUUUACAUGUGGAGCAAGGAUCCGAGGCGAAAACCCCUAAAAACCCGGC